Non-coding RNA from Acanthosepion pharaonis, 112 nucleotides. The record is from the annotation of a GenBank genome assembly. Lineage: Eukaryota; Metazoa; Mollusca; Cephalopoda; Sepiida; Sepiidae.
AUGGCCACAUCACAUUAAAAGUCCGAUUCUCAUACAAUCACUGAAGUUAAGAAAUAUUGAGCAUGGUCAGUACCUAGAUGGGUAACCACUUGGGAAUACCAGGUGCUGUAAG